UGUGGCGGGAGGAUUCAGUUGGGGGGCUCGGACGUGGCGCUGGAAUACCACAAGAAGGUUCCCAGAGGGGGCCGUUCCGGUGUCGCGCUUUCGGGUCAACCGACGCAUUUGUUUCCCGCCCGAAGGACGCCGCAACCGGUUGGGACGUGGCCUUAAGGAUGGGAGAUGGCAGGUGGCCGGUGGCGCUCCUAGUGGGUGUCGCCGGUUGUUAGCCGUCCCGUCGCACGGCACGCGACCCGACCGUGGUAUCACGAGGCCCUUAUGGGCUUCACCGCCUCCUCCACCGAGAGCGGGUAGAAACGUGACAGGAGUACGACCCUCUGCGGGCGCACGGACUGACUCCGUGGCCCAGCGUUGGGUUGUCUUCGUUGGUUGCGUAGGACCCGUAGGAGUGCUGGCGGUUCGCGGCGAGUAGAUCGGUCACCCACCCGACCCGUCUUGAAACACGGACCAAGGAGUCU
RNAcentral lists this ribosomal RNA (461 nucleotides) under Stemonyphantes lineatus. Its description in RNAcentral is "partial 28S ribosomal RNA". Lineage: Eukaryota; Metazoa; Arthropoda; Arachnida; Araneae; Linyphiidae. The record is from RNAcentral.